Caenorhabditis japonica is the source of this 1014-nucleotide non-coding RNA. NCBI's taxonomy places the organism in Eukaryota, Metazoa, Nematoda, Chromadorea, Rhabditida, Rhabditidae. The record is from Rfam.
CAGACCAAACGUUUCGGACGUUGUUGUGACUCUGAAUACCGUCGUUACUGUCAGUUUCGACUGACUCUAUCGAGAAGGGUGUCUGCCUUUCAACUAGAUGGUAAUCUAUUGGACUACCAUGGUUGUUACGGGUAACGGAGAAUUAGGGUUCGACUCCGGAGAGGGAGCUUAGAAACGGCUACCACGUCCAAGGAAGGCAGCAGGCGCGAAACUUAUCCACUGUUGAGUAUGAGAUAGUGACUAAAAAUAUAAAGACUCAUCCUUUUGGAUGAGUUAUUUCAAUGAGUUGAAUAUAAAUUAUUCUUCGAGUAGCAAGGAGAGGGCAAGUCUGGUGCCAGCAGCCGCGGUAAUUCCAGCUCUCCUAGUGUAUCUCGUUAUUGCUGCGGUUAAAAAGCUCGUAGUUGGAUCUAGGUUACGUGCCGCAGUUCGCAAUUUGCGUUAACUGUGGUCGUGACUUCUAAUUUGCUGGUUUGAGGUUGGGUUCGCCCUUCAACUGCCAGCAGGUUUACCUUGAAUAAAUCAGAGUGCUCAAUACAGGCGCUUGCUUGAAUAGCUCAUCAUGGAAUAAUGAAACAGGACUUCGGUUCUUUUUGUUGGUUCUAGAAUUGAUCUAAUGGUUAAGAGGGACAAACCGGGGGCAUUCGUAUCAUUACGCGAGAGGUGAAAUUCGUGGACCGUAGUGAGACGCCCAAUAGCGAAAGCAUUUGCCAAGAAUGUCUUCAUUAAUCAAGAACGAAAGUCAGAGGUUCGAAGGCGAUUAGAUACCGCCCUAGUUCUGACCGUAAACGAUGCCAUCUCGCGAUUCGGAGGGUUCAUGCCCUACCGAGGAGCUACCCGGAAACGAAAGUCUUUCGGUUCCGGGGGUAGUAUGGUUGCAAAGCUGAAACUUAAAGAAAUUGACGGAAGGGCACCACAAGGCGUGGAGCUUGCGGCUUAAUUUGACUCAACACGGGAAAACUCACCCGGUCCGGACACUAUUAGGACUGACAGAUUGAAAGCUCUUUCUCGAUUUGG